Molecule: ribosomal RNA, 33 nt
Filed under: Musa gracilis
Lineage: Eukaryota; Viridiplantae; Streptophyta; Magnoliopsida; Zingiberales; Musaceae
Description: partial 26S ribosomal RNA
Source: RNAcentral
GCGACCCCAGGUCAGUUGGGUUUCCCCAGGUUU